This 4734-nucleotide long non-coding RNA is filed under the name Phaseolus vulgaris (common bean). RNAcentral describes it as "long non-coding RNA (PVUL_LNC001445)". Lineage: Eukaryota; Viridiplantae; Streptophyta; Magnoliopsida; Fabales; Fabaceae. The record is from RNAcentral.
UGCUUAAGAUAUUUUUAUACUGGAUCAUCUAAUAGCACAUAUUAUGUACAUGUAUAGUUCUCAAUUAAUCAAUUAAGUUUCACCAUGCUAACUAAUGUUGCAAGUUACAACGAGUAUUCUUUCUACUCAUAGCCACUUCUUGCUAACUUGUACAACUAUUGUGUGACAACAAGUUAAUAACACAAGUAUUGUUUAACAACAAAUCAUUCAUGAAUAACCUGUACAAGCAUUUUUUACAACAAGUCACUCUUGACCAACAUGAUUAGUAUUAUUUGAUAACAAGGCACUUUUGACUAAGACAAAUAUUUUUUCUAAGGAGUGAUAAAAAAAAUAUCACAAGGUGGCUCGCUAGAGAGGGAUUGCAUCUUUCGAUAUUUACAAAGUUAACAACUCUCUACUAGUUUGCCAGAUAAACGCAACAAUGUUCUUACAAAGCUAUUUUAGGGUACAAAAAGAAUAUUAACAACGAUUUAGCACCUUUUCAAUUUGAACUCUUGUUUUUUUUUUCUUGAAGGAUAACGUUAUAUAGGAAAUUAGAAAAAGAGUCGUUGCAAAUCUUUUUCUGGUCGUUAAGCAACUUCAAACUCACUUAAACGUCUUGUUUGUGUCUGCAGAGCUUGAAUGUAGAAGAUGCAUUAAAUGUGGUUCAUGCAUGCAUCAAAUGUUCCUCUCUUCUUUAAGAAAUAUCUCGAUAGCUAGAUGUUUUUUUAUCAGUAAAGAAUAAAUAAAAUAAAAUAAGACACUUCAGAGGGUGUCCCAACCCUUAUACAAAAAAACUCAUACCAAACUUCUUAACACCCACCAACUAGGGAUCUAACAUACUCUACAAAACAUCAACCAGAGUAAUAUAUACAUGACAAGACUAGUAUAGGCAUGAUCACAUCAUAAUACAAUUACAUCAUCCCUCCAAAAGGAGACAUGUUCUCACAAAAUAAGACAAAAUAAAUACCACCCUGCACCUUCUCCAACAACUGAAUAGGAUCUUUGCCAGGAUCCAGAACUAAGUAAAACACCCAAGAGUCAUAAAUAUCACACCAAACCUGCAAGAAAACUAGGAAGCCAAAAAACUUGCACUAAAUAAGACAAAAACUUCCAAACCUGGUCAAAACAUUAAACAUAAAUUUCUCAAAUAUCUCAUACAACAUAAAGGUUCCAAACAUCAAUCUGAGUAAGAGAAAUCAAUUAAUCUUUCCUUUACUGUAACCCAAGACCAGAUCUUCCUUUGUACCACAGUAAAAACCUCAACUAGAUCAACUCGCCCAUUCUUAAAAACAACCAUAUUCCUAUGAUUCCAAAUUUCACAGAGUACAACCAAUAUCUAAAGAGACCAAAAACAAUGUAGGGAAUUUUUGCAUUAAAGGUACAUUAUCCACCCAUUUAUCCUCCUAAAACCUAAUUUCUUUUUUGUCCCCUACUUCCCACCAUCCUUUGUCAUCAAAGUCGUUACCUCACUCCUUUAGAUUCUAAACUUUCCUAAUGUCUCUCCACCACACAGACUCCUUACUAUUCUGAACCUAGGACCUUAAGCCCCUCCACCCACCAUAUUUAGAAUCUAUGAUAUCCUUCCAUAAACUUCUCUUUUCAGACUUAAGUCUCCAAAUUCAUUUCCCCAUAAGGGCAAAGUUAAAUCUUCUUAUAAGAAUAACCCCUAAACCUCUUUUAUCUUUUGACUCACAGACUUUAUCCCAUGUCACUAAGCAAAUUUUUCUACUCUUUGAGCCCCAAUCCACAAAAAAUUCUUCUGCAUCCUUUUCAAUUCCUUCACCACAGUAGUCGACAUACGGAAGAAUGAGAUGUAAAAUAACGGUAAAGAGGUAAGCACAGAUAUGAUCAGACAGCCAUAAAGAGGAAUUUAUCUUUCCAAGAGCUCAAUCCACUAUGGAUUUUAUUGAGCACCCCUUCCCAAAAAAUACACCUCCUAUGAUUCCCUCAUAGUGUCACCCCCAAAUAAGUAAAAGGUGCUUUCAUAAUUUCGUAAUUAAGGAUAGAAGCAUACAACACCAUCUGAUUGAUGCUCACACCCACUCCAGAGACAAAUUCAAAACACUUCAGAAUUACUUUUAAGGUCAUAACACUUUGAGUUGUGGCUUUACAGAAAAAGAGGGUGUCAUCUACAUAUUGUAGCAUACUCAUGUUUACCCGCCUUUCCCCGACCUAAAUACUCUCUACUAACUUUUUAUCUUCUGCUUGUCUAACCACUCCUACAAGCCCUUCAAGUGUAAUGAGAAAGAAAAAUGGUAUUAACGGGUAAUAUUAUUAUUUUUAAAAUUAUUAUUUCUAAUAAUAUUACUAUUUAAUGUUAUUAUUUAUAAUAAGAUUAAAUAAUAAUAAUAUUAUUAAUAAUACUAUUAAUAAUAAUGUUAUUAUUAAAAUUAAAAUUAAUAUUAUUUUAAUUAUUAUUAAUGUUAACAUUAUUAUUUUUAUAUUUAUUAAUAGUAUUAUUAUUAAUAAUAAUUUAGUUAUUAUUAAUAUUAUUAUUAUUAUAAUAAUUAUUAAUUUUAUUAGUAUUAUUGUUAUUAUUAUUAUUGUAUUUACUAAUAUUAUUGAUAUUAAUAUUAUUAAUAUUGUCAUUAUUAUUAUUUUAAUUAUUAUUAUUAAUGUUAUUAAAAUUAAUAUUAUUAUCAUAAUUAUAAUUAUUAAUAUUAACAUUAUUAUUAUAAUUAUUAUUAUUAAAUUUACUGACAAAAUUUACUGAUGAAUUUUGUUUGCAUUCAAUAAUAAUCAAGGAAUUUUAUCGACGAAUAAUGAUUUAUGCUUAAUUUUGAUUUUUUAAUUUUCAUAUCCGUCGAUACCUAAUAACAAAGAUUUAACGGAAAAAAUUUCGAUAAUACCAUCCGUUUAUAAAUUUCGUUAAUAAUUAAAAAAAUUAUUAUCACGAAACUAUGAAUUUAUUUUAGUGAUAUUGUUAUCUGGGUAUUUGAAGGAGAUUUAGUUACUGUAAUCUGUUGAUCAAAAUAUUUUUUUUAUAAAAAAAAAUUAUAUUAAAAUUUAUUUUAAUAACUUAUCCUUAUAUAUGAAGAAGUAAUAUCUAAAGAGGAAUAAAUAUUUUUAUUUUUUACCAUCCUUUUGUCUUUGUGUGUGACAUUAUCUCUAAUAAUUAAUUUUCUUAAAUAUUAAAUAAAUUGUACUAUAAAUUAUUUUUAAUUAAUAGCUCAACCAUUUCACCUAAUACAUAUUUUUUAUUUUAUAAAAAAAUUAAUAAAAAUGUAUAUCACGUUUAAAUUAAACGGAGUAUACAACAAUUUUCUUUUUAAUGGCUUUGGGUUCUGUCAUCGUCAAUUUGACAGGUGCCUAAAGAGUUGACUUAAGUUGUCCAUAAGUUUUUAAAAUUGAAUGUCUUAGAAGCAAAAGGAAAUUAUUACUCUAUAGAAAGUAGGAUAUCAACUUUAUUUGUGUUUGGACUAAUUUUUCCAUAAGAUAUUUUAAAAUAAAUAUAUAAAUUUAACUUCUUUAUAAAUUAAAAAUAAUAUAUUAAAAAAAGUUAUACAAAAAGAACUUUUAUAAAUUAAAUCAUAUAUAUAUGUGUGUUAUAAUUUUAACUUAUAAAAAAACUAAUUUUAAUCUUUUUUUCUUAAAAAGAGCUUUUAAAAAAAGUCAGUUUCGAUAUAUCUUAAACAGAUAAACAAAACGAAUUAUUUUUAAAAAUAGGUAAUUAUUAACCAGGACAUUGGUUAAAAAAUUAAAAGACUUUUUUUUUAUAUAGAAUAUUAAAAAUAUUUUAUUUUAUGAAAUUUUAAUAUUGUUUUCUUCUUUUAAUCUUAAUUAAAAGAAUAUUUCAGUAUAAAAAACAAACAUUAUCAAAAAUCAUUAAAUAAAAAUUAAUAUUAAAAAAUUAUUAUUAUAUUAACUAUGUUAUAUAUUAUUUUAUAAAUUAAAAAAUUAUUAUUAUUAAAAAAAUUUAUAAAUUUAUGUUAAAGAAUUAAAAAUAAAAAGGCAUCUUUGAUUUUGUUUUUACCAAUUUUCUCUCGCUUUUGAUCUUUAAUAUUAAAAAACCCGUUAAUGAAUGAUCAAAAUUGAAAUAGUAAGUGUUUUUUAAUUAAAAUUAAAACUUCAUCAUCAAUCGCUUCUAAUUUGAAAUACCAUGACAAAUGCAAUAAUACAUAAUAGAAUUAAAAAUAAAAACAAGUAAAUUAUAUGUAAAAUCAUGCAUUAAUAUCAAGUUUUCAUUCGUUGUUUUUUAGUGAACGUAAUAAGUAAUAAAUAAAAACUUGGACAAUUUAUGAUACUGAGAAGAAAGCCUAACGAGAAAAGCACAGAAAAAAUAUUAUUUGAAUGCUUUUUUCUAUGGUCCUAAUUUAAUAAUGGAAUGAAGGAACGGUGAGAAACGGCAAAGAAAAAAAAAAAAAUUGCAGAGAGAAGAAGGUGGUAAGUAAGGAAGAGAGAAACUAACCGACGACAUCGUUUUGAAUAUCUUCUACAAUCUCGAAGAUGAUGCUCGCCACCGGCUCGCUUUGGCCUGCGUCUGCACCAAAUUCUCUGCCGUCAACCUCAUCGCCGAUUUCUGUUGGAAGACCAAAUUCUCCCGCACCAUCCCCUCCGACCACCGCCGCUCGCCCUUCACAAAGUAGCCGUUUGCUGCCUCGGCCUCCUCUUCGACACCUCCGAUUCCGGCCUCCACCCUCACCUUUUCAACAACUCUUCCCCUCCAAUUCUCGCUCUAAAAAAUAAAUUUAAAUGUCGUUUGGGAAUCGCACUCACCUCAUUUCAUUUUAUACUAAAGUUAUACAAAACCGU